This 326-nucleotide ribosomal RNA is filed under the name uncultured eukaryote. RNAcentral describes it as "partial 18S ribosomal RNA". It matches the Rfam family "Eukaryotic small subunit ribosomal RNA", at positions 1470 to 1796 of the family's 1831-position model. The record is from RNAcentral.
CCCUUAGAUGUUCUGGGCCGCACGCGCGCUACACUGAUGCAUUCAACGAGCCUAUCCUUGACCGACAGGUCCGGGUAAUCUUUGAAUCUGCAUCGUGACGGGGAUAGAUUAUUGCAAUUAUUAAUCUUCAACGAGGAAUGCCUAGUAAACGCAAGUCAUCAGCUUGCAUUGAUUACGUCCCUGCCCUUUGUACACACCGCCCGUCGCUCCUACCGAUUGAAUGAUCCGAUGAAUAUCAUGGAUUGAGGAUUAUAGCAGGUUCGCCUGUCUUGAUCUUCGAGAAGUGAAGUAAAUCUUAACAUUUAGAGGAAGGAGAAGUCGUAACA